AGAGUUUGAUCAUGGCUCAGAAUCAACGCUGGCGGCGCGCUUAACACAUGCAAGUCGCACGAGAAAGGGGAGCAAUCUCUGAGUACAGUGGCGCACGGGUGAGUAACACGUGGGUAAUCCACCCUUUAGUGGGGAAUAACCCUGGGAAACCGGGGCUAAUACCGCAUAAGCCUGAGAAGGGAAAGCAGCAAUGCGCUGAAGGAGGAGCUCGCGGCCGAUUAGCUAGUUGGUGGGGUAACGGCUCACCAAGGCGACGAUCGGUAGCCGGCCUGAGAGGGCACACGGCCACACUGGCACUGAAACACGGGCCAGACUCCUACGGGAGGCAGCAGUGGGGAAUCUUGCACAAUGGGGGAAACCCUGAUGCAGCGACGCCGCGUGAGCGAUGAAGCCCUUCGGGGUGUAAAGCUCUUUCGACGGGAACGAUAAUGACGGUACCCGGAGAAGAAGCUGCGGCUAACUACGUGCCAGCCGCCGCGGUAAUAC
This 486-nucleotide ribosomal RNA is filed under the name uncultured bacterium. RNAcentral describes it as "bacterial SSU rRNA". It matches the Rfam family "Bacterial small subunit ribosomal RNA", at positions 8 to 526 of the family's 1533-position model. The record is from RNAcentral.